UUCUAUUAAUGAACUUGCUCACCAAAUAGACUCCACUUGUUAAGGUCUUGAAAAGAAUGGCUUAUUCACCACUUCUUCCAUCUAUAGCCUCUUAACUCCUACCAAUGAGUAAAUUCCUAAUUUCCAAUGGAUUUGGGAUUCCCCAACCUUAGGAAAAAUAAAAUUCUUCCUAUUAUUUUGUGCUCAUGAUCGUUUACCUAUGAAAAAUAUCUUUGAUGUUUGGAAAUUAUCAUAAAUGAUCUUUGUUUUCGAUGUCAUCUCAAGGUUGAGGGCGCUUAUGAUAUUCUUAUUGAUUGAACUAUAGUGUGUUUCUUUUGGGCCACUUGGAAUAUUUCAUUGGAUCAAUGUCCUCCAGCUCCCAUCAAAUAAUGGCUUGUCUUCUUAAGAGAUCUAUCUCACUCUCUACCUAACCCCUAUAUCAACUGGACUCUCUUUUACUCUUUUGCUAUUUGGUUCACCUUGAAUAAUCAAAAUCAUGCCUAUUUCAAUAACACCAUGUGUACUCCUUCACCUAAUCACCUUAUUCAAAUUGUGCGUGAGUUUUACUUCUUCACUGAUACUCACAUCUCUAGUAAUAAAUAUGUUAAUAUUAUGAUUAAAUGGUACCCUCCGUAGAAAGGCUGGUUUAAAUUAAAUAUUAAAGGUGCAUUCCAUUCUCACACUCUCCGAGGUGGUAUUGGAGGAGUUUUGUGAAAUCAUGAAGGUAAGUGGUGUUUGGGCUUCAAUGGUGCUACAACAGCUGUGACAUGCCUACAGAUGGAACUUAAAGCUCUCUAGGCGUGCGUUAAACUCUCUUACAUUCAUCACUUUCAAGCUCUUGAGGUGGAAACUGAUUCAGUUGAUCUUUUACAUUUGAUUAAUCAAACUAAUCCCCAAUUUUCUUGUCUUAUCAUGCAAUGCAGGUACUAUUUGAAGAAGCUGUUGUAUCCUCUGCUUCGCCACAACUUCAGGGAAGCAAAUAGAGUGCCUUAUCAACUAUCUAUGGAAGGAAAAAUAAGUUUGGAAACUACUCCUGUAGUGUUUUACUCCCAGAUAGUCCAUGAGGACUUGCAACUGCAUACUAUUUGUAGGAAAGUGUCUACAAUGGCUUGUACUACUCUUUCUAGGUCGGGUAAUCUUUGUGUAAUCAAAUAUAAUGUAG
This 1141-nucleotide long non-coding RNA is filed under the name Capsicum annuum. RNAcentral's name for it is "long non-coding RNA (CANN_LNC020648)". Lineage: Eukaryota; Viridiplantae; Streptophyta; Magnoliopsida; Solanales; Solanaceae. The record is from RNAcentral.